Molecule: long non-coding RNA, 4183 nt
Organism: Helianthus annuus (common sunflower)
Lineage: Eukaryota; Viridiplantae; Streptophyta; Magnoliopsida; Asterales; Asteraceae
Exons: 12
Source: RefSeq, a predicted model, not a curated record
CUCUUCAAUGCUCUCUUCUCCUUCUCACAUACGUUUCUUCACCCUGUCUCUAUCUUCAAUCAAAUAAAUCUUUCCUUUUUCCUUAUUGUUUCCCUUUUCAUAGUACAGAAACCAUAGGUUUCUUCCUUUGCUUCUUCCUUUGCGGCUUUAUUCUUGGUAUAGGUAAUUUCAAGGUUACAAUCUUUCACAAUUAUUUUGUUUUCGUAUUCAAAUCUCCCAGUACCUCUCUGAAAGUUGAAGCACUGAUGUCAUCGCACCAUCAAAGUUGUCGAUUUGAAGGUCAUCGCUCUCUCUGGCUCAUGAAAUCAAGGUUUAUGUUCAAAGCAAAUCAAUGGUGACAUGAGGACUCAAAAACGCUGCUUCCCUCCACUGAUAUCUUGACCGCCGGAAGAAGAAAUAGGUAAUGUUUCUGUACCUUUUAUGUUUUGAUUCAAUUAUUGCUUUCAGUUUCUCUCUUUCCUUUCUCGCUCAAAACCCUAGAUCAAAUGAGUGCAAGUUCCUGUUCUUCAUUCUCAUAUUCAUCAAUCAAUAACAUAGGUAUCAAAACUUUGCAAUCAAGAUAUCAACAAGAGAUUCACGUUCUUUUUAUAUCUUAACAGAAGAGAAAGAUCAAUCCAGGUUUUAAUCGAUCUCAAAUCAGCAGGCAGAAGGCAUAAGGACAAAUUUCAUCAAUACAUGACAAUAACUGGAAUAGUGAAAAAGUUGCACUUGCUUGAAGAGCAGUGAUUGGCAUUUGAUAUCUUCUAUAUACAGAUCAUGCUAAAUCGUUCAUAGAUAUGCGACUUUUAGAGGAAUUGUAUAACAAAUACAAAGAUCUUUUCGUUGAUAUCCGCAUAGCUGGUGGGGUGGUCGGCUGCUUCGGUUGGCAGCUCAAAAUGUGUUCAGAACAUUGAUAUAAGUCACCAAAUCUUUGGUACAGAAAGCUGGCUUUUACUCAACCGCGAUCCAGCCUUCCUUCAAUUCCGAUCAACGGUACAUGAGGACUAUCCUUGAUUCAUGAAGGAAUCCAACCUUUUACUCAACCGCAAUCCAGCCUUCCUUCAAUUCCGAUCAACGGUGCAUGAGGACAAUCCUUGAUUAAUGAAGGAAGCGGUAGUGAUUUCAACCCAGGCGUUUCGGCUGUGUUGUAUUCUUGACCAAAAACACUCCUGUAAAGAUUUUGGUCUCUCAAGGAUCAUACCGAAUGAUGUCACUCAUUCGUCAAUAGCCCCUUAGGGAUUUUGUUAGAAGAUUGCCAUUCCUUGGAUCCCGAAAGAAAGUUAGCAACAAUGUGGUAAGCCAGCCUCAUUUGUAUUUAUGACUUUGCCAUUGAAUUUAUUAGUGUUUAAAGAGAAGAGCAAGUGCAUGUUUUCUCUCUUUUUAUGUUUUUAUGUCUCCUUUAAAGAGAAGAGAAUGUACAUGAUGGUAAAAAGAUAAACAUAGAUGAAGAAGAUACAAUAUUGAUGAUGAUAAUGGCUGAAGAUGAACAAUGGCGGCAACGGUGGCUGAAUUAGGGUUCCGCUCAGAAUCUUUGAUAUUUCGGCCAGAAGCUAGGGUUCUGUGUUAGGUUCCAGCGACACAGGUAAGAUAAAUGGUCUUCAGGGUGGCUUUUCCGGUUGUAUUUUACCAUAUUAAUGAUUGCAUAUAAGGUAUUCAUAUGCAAAAUGACUAAGGGUUUGUUGCAGAUUACUUAAUGUCUUCGCGUUACCGUAGUAAUGUGCGCCAACCCCAUGUAAAUUGUCUCCUUUUUCUGCUGUUGGCAUCUCUUUUUUUAUGGGUAUAAGUCGCUAUAAUAGAUUUCGGUGUGUUGCUUUAAUUAAAUAUAUUACAAGUUAUGUCUUACAAGUUAAGAAGGAUAGAAGUUUGUGAAGAUAUGUGUUACAAGUUAUAAAAGGGAACAAAAUCCCCAAAUGGGUCAACCAGGUAGCCAGAAUAGGUACUAUAUCAUCCCUUUUUUAAAUUUCUUUGGUUAUGGAUGUCCAUAUUGACCCAUUUACACAUGAAUCAGUUAGUUUAGAAUGUGUUUUAUUCUGAACGCAUACAAAAUGUCACACUAAUCCUUUCAUUUAAUGACUUAAAUUAAUCAUGUUCUAAUUCAAUAACUAUUUAUUAUUGUUGUUGUAAAUGGAUAAAAAAAGUGGGUGGGUUAUUCAUGACUCAAGCCCUGCUGGCCUAUAUUGCCUGGUACCAAAAAAUAACCAUUUCAAUUUGAACGAUUUUAGCGAGUUACCCAACCUACCUGACCCACUUUACAUUGUACCUUGACUUUUAGUUAUGUUGGCAUUGUGAGCUCAUCUUCUCAUGUUUUUUUUAGAUUCAUGUUGUCACUACAUACUUCCAAAGGCUAUCAAGGGUAGUUCCGCUGUUAGAAAUGAAUCAAACUCUCAAGAAAAUGAAAAGAGGAGUUUAACGAGUAGGUGCACAUAAAUUAUCUCCCAUUUAAAGGAUGCAGGUCUGAGAUAUACUAUAUUAUUUUUCUUUAUGUUUGGCAUUUAUGUAUAUUUAACUGGUAAACUUCUUUUAAUCAACAUUAUAAUUUUUAGUUUGUGGUUUUUCUAUGCGAAAGAGGGUAUAGUUAAGCCAUAUUUGUGGGGCUUGGACGCCGGUUGAAAAGAACAAAGCCAAACAUUCACGCUUGCCUGAAAAUGAUGAGGGGGUGGGUCUGCUUGGACAACUGAUGUAAGAAGUAGUAGAGCUGGUAAUUGUGGCCCGUUUACUUAGGACUGGGUCAAUGUGUGUGUAUAUUAUCUUAAAUGGGUUGAAUGAAAAGAUUUCAAAACAAGUUAUCAAGGGAAAUGGUAUUUUUUUUACUGUGAUGGGUAUUUAGAUUGGUGGGUUUGUUAGUGAGUCGAAACAGGAGUAAUGUUUGAUGAAUGGAAGCAUUAUGAGUUCUUAGAUGUGGUGUUAUGAGGCAUGUUCGUGUUUGUUCAUUUAACUUUAACCGAACACAAAGACGAACAUAUAAUCGAACACAUUUUUUUGUUCGUGUUCGUUUAUUUAGAAAAUGAGCAUGUGUGUGCUUGUUUAUGUUCGUUCGUUUAAAACCUAAACGAACAGUUCACCAACAUAAACGAACAUAAACAAUUUGAAGUUAGAUGUUGGAUAACUGGGUAGAUGGGUGUAUAUUUGGAUAGCAAUUUGAAUUAUUGAAGCCCUAUUUUGUGCUUAUACUGAUAUAAUAGGUAAUUUGGGAAAAUGAGAAUCUGAAUUUUAUAAUAUGGUUAAAGCCUACGAAUAUGGCAGUUUGAUUUGGACCAGAGACGAGUGGGGAAUACUAUGGGCCAGUUAAAUAGGUAACCUAAUGCUCUUCUCAACUUUUUUAUUGAGUGUACUUCUUAAGAAUUACAUUUGGUUGCUAUGUCAUCCAAAUUUUAAUAAAGAUUAGAGGUGGCAAGAUGGGCAUUCUAGGCCAAUUUUGUAGUACGGGUCAGGUUAUGUUGAAUCAACCCGAAAACACCUUUUAGUCUAUGGUUUAUAAUAAUUACUUUGUUUAUCAUUACAAUAAUAAUCUAAACUUUUUACACAGUCCAUCUAGGAUGUUCUAUGCUUAAGAAUGUAGCCUUUGGUAUACUUUCAAGUUUCAAUCCAUUUGUUCCAUUUUUACUUUUUAGCCAUUUUUUUUAAUUUGACCCGUUUGAGAUAAAAUAAAACCCAAAUCGAUCCAUUUAUAAGUAAAAGGGUAGUAGUUGCCGCUUUUUAUUACUAGAGAUUAAACUUACAGCUUCGAUGUCUGUGGGCACGCAUAUAAGGAAGUGGCUGAAAUCAAAGGACAAUGUAGGAGUGGUGGAUGGAUCCCGGUUCGAAAAUAGAUCGAGCCGUCUGAUGUUCAAAUCGAAGCAACCUAGCAGAUUCUGUAGUUUACGAUUGUUACAAUACAGUUCAAACGCCAUUUGAUCAACAAUUGUUUUAACACCGUCAACGUAUCUACGUUUUGCACGCAUAAUGGAGUUUGGUGCUAAUCGGAUCUCCACGGCAACGUGUGAGUUUCGGAGUUUGCAAUGUUAUCAUACCAAGAAUGAUUCGGUUAAGCGCAACGUGGCGCUGUGUAUCAAGGUGGUAUUUGGUUUUGAAUAGACAAAUAAAAAUAAAUUACAAUUGUGCUAAUCUUUAGAAAAAGAAACUUAUGGUUACAUGUUCAAUGAACAAUUACUAUUUGAUGUCUAAUUUUAUUAGAAUAAUAUAAUUUGGUCAUUGUUUCAGAUUA